RNAcentral lists this transfer RNA (67 nucleotides) under Camelus bactrianus (Bactrian camel). It matches the Rfam family "tRNA". Rfam says of the family: Transfer RNA (tRNA) molecules are approximately 80 nucleotides in length. Their secondary structure includes four short double-helical elements and three loops (D, anti-codon, and T loops). Further hydrogen bonds mediate the characteristic L-shaped molecular structure. tRNAs have two regions of fundamental functional importance: the anti-codon, which is responsible for specific mRNA codon recognition, and the 3' end, to which the tRNAs corresponding amino acid is attached (by aminoacyl-tRNA synthetases). tRNAs cope with the degeneracy of the genetic code in two manners: having more than one tRNA (with a specific anti-codon) for a particular amino acid; and 'wobble' base-pairing, i.e. permitting non-standard base-pairing at the 3rd anti-codon position. RNAcentral also lists the same sequence under 1 other name. The record is from Rfam by way of RNAcentral. Lineage: Eukaryota; Metazoa; Chordata; Mammalia; Artiodactyla; Camelidae.
GGGUAUAUCUCAGUGGUAGACUGUAUGCUUGGUAUGCAUACGGCCCUGGGUUCAAUCCCCAGUACCC